RNAcentral lists this transfer RNA (73 nucleotides) under Fasciola gigantica. It matches the Rfam family "tRNA". Rfam says of the family: Transfer RNA (tRNA) molecules are approximately 80 nucleotides in length. Their secondary structure includes four short double-helical elements and three loops (D, anti-codon, and T loops). Further hydrogen bonds mediate the characteristic L-shaped molecular structure. tRNAs have two regions of fundamental functional importance: the anti-codon, which is responsible for specific mRNA codon recognition, and the 3' end, to which the tRNAs corresponding amino acid is attached (by aminoacyl-tRNA synthetases). tRNAs cope with the degeneracy of the genetic code in two manners: having more than one tRNA (with a specific anti-codon) for a particular amino acid; and 'wobble' base-pairing, i.e. permitting non-standard base-pairing at the 3rd anti-codon position. Lineage: Eukaryota; Metazoa; Platyhelminthes; Trematoda; Plagiorchiida; Fasciolidae. The record is from Rfam by way of RNAcentral.
GUCGCGAGAGCUCAGCAGGUAGAGCAUCCGCCUGGUAUGCGGAGGGUCGUCUGUUCGAUUCCGGCUUGCGGCC